AAACGACUGCGCAUGCGCUAGGUUGGAAUUUUAGAUUCAACAAAGAUGGCGGACUCCUGGUGGAUAAUCCAGCCAAAUACCGCCAAGAUUCUACUCAGAACUCAAUAAUUACUUCGGAAUAAGACGGCACUUUAUUGACUUAGAGUAUCAAUGUGACUCAAAGGAUGGAUAAUUGUGCUCGGAUUUGUUUUAUUAUGUACAAAUUUUCGUAAACUCGUAAUGCCGUUCGCCUCGAAGAAUCUAUCCUCUAUUAUAGCUGAUCUAACAUCUAGUAUAGCUGAUCCACUCGGGGAACCAAGUAGUGUAGCUAAAUGGCUUUUGGCAGCUUCUACAUUGAGUCUUUACUGAGGCAGCUUCUACAUUUCCUUGCGUCGUGGUAUCGUACGUUUGGUUCCCCCUUGCAAUAGCUGUGACAAGUAAAGAGAUCCAUGGAGUACUUAGGGGGAAUUGCUGUCCAAUUGAUAACUGUCACGAUUUACUUGAGGAAGCAUUAAUUUCAUCGACAAUGUCUGGUGUAUUGGACUGAUCUGAUAUACUGGCUGGAUCUGUCAUUUUCGUUGGGCUGAUAAUACUCUGAUUGAAGGCAUCGGAAAGUGUCUUCACUUUCUCUAGGAUGGAGAUGGUGCAGGAUGGACAUAGCUGACCACAACUUUAUUGUAUGAGUCUAUUGUUCUUGGUGCACAUCCAAAUCCAGUCAGAAGGCCACUGUUGAGGGCAGAUCUUGGCAGUCCAUGCAGGUGGAGAUUGUUUCCUCAAUGGACUCAAAAAGGAGAAAUGACAGAUCAAUGCAAAAGGGAGGGUGUGUGGCAUUAUUUGCUUCGUGCCCUCCUGCCAAUCCCCACCAUCAUUCCCCACUUUACCCUUGGGUGAUGGAAGAAUUUGGAUAAUUAUCUUUAUUUUGAUAUAAGCUAGUCAUUAUCUGCUCCCAUUGUUCGGUAUUUAAAACUACAUUUCCUCGGUCAUUUUUUCUGGCCUCACCAACGGGAGUCAUCAGGGCAUUCCAGGAGAGGGGGUCUAAGGGUUUCUCAUCAAUAGUUAUUUAAUGAGGUUAGGGGAUCUUGGGAGGGAUUUUGCAAUGAGUCGCACAAGUGAAGCACAGGUGAACGGGUAGUCUCCAGUAUCUGUAAACAGCAAAAUACAUAUUAUAAUAACAUAUCUUUUUUGUUAUGUCACAAUUAAAAUCAAUUUACACAA
This is a long non-coding RNA of Nematostella vectensis (starlet sea anemone), 1194 nucleotides long. RefSeq lists it as uncharacterized. Lineage: Eukaryota; Metazoa; Cnidaria; Anthozoa; Actiniaria; Edwardsiidae. The record is from RefSeq and is a predicted model, not a curated record. The transcript is spliced from 4 exons.